GUACACGCUGUGACUAGCAUAUCAAUAAGCGGAGGAAAAGAAACUAACAAGGAUUCCCUUAGUAACGGCGAGUGAAGCGGGAAGAGCUCAAAUUUGAAAUCUUCAAGGUUUACCUUUACGAAUUGUAGUUUAAAGAAGUGUUUUCUGCUGAAGUUUUGGUAAAAGUUCUUUGGAAUAGGACAUCAUAGAGGGUGAGAAUCCCGUAUUUGACCAUUAUUUUCAGCUGUGUGAUACACUUUCAAAGAGUCGGAUUGUUUGGGAAUGCAGUCCAAAAUGGGUGGUAAAUUUCAUCUAAAGCUAAAUAUUGGCGAGAGACCGAUAGCGAACAAGUACCGUGAGGGAAAGAUGAAAAGAACUUUGAAAAGAGAGUUAAACAGUACGUGAAAUUGUCAAAAGGGAAGCGUUUGACACCAGUGUUGUUUUUCUGAAAAUCAAUUAAAGAACUGUUUAUGCUAAGCUGUUUAGACUUUAUCAGCUAUCUGUUUAGUUUUGAGCUUUUCUUUAAUGCACUUUUCAGUUAACAAGUCAACAUCAAUUUCUUUUGCUGUAAAAAAGCUUGAGGAAGGUGGCUUGAGAUUCGUCUUAAGUGUUUAUAGCCUCUUGCCUAUGCAGUCGGAGAGAUUGAGGUCUGCAGCGUAGAUCCUUCGGGGCUAAAUGCAUUUGUGCUAAGUUAUAGCAUUUUAUAGACAACUUGUUGACUAUGAUUUGUCUUGUAGCUUACUCGCUUAUGUUAUUUUACCUACGCUUAGGAUGUUGACGCAUGAGAUAUACGC
This 773-nucleotide ribosomal RNA is filed under the name uncultured Neocallimastigales. RNAcentral describes it as "partial large subunit ribosomal RNA". It matches the Rfam family "Eukaryotic large subunit ribosomal RNA", at positions 22 to 647 of the family's 3401-position model. Lineage: Eukaryota; Fungi; Neocallimastigomycota; Neocallimastigomycetes; Neocallimastigales. The record is from RNAcentral.